AAAUGAAUUGACGGGGGCCCGCACAAGCGGCGGAGCAUGCGGAUUAAUUCGAUGCAACGCGAAGAACCUUACCAAGGCUUGACAUAUACGAGAACGCUGCAGAAAUGUAGAACUCUUUGGACACUCGUAUACAGGUGGUGCAUGGUUGUCGUCAGCUCGUGUCGUGAGAUGUUGGGUUAAGUCCCGCAACGAGCGCAACCCUCGUCGUAUGUUGCCAGCACGUAAUGGUGGGAACUCAUAUGAGACUGCCGGGGUCAACUCGGAGGAAGGUGGGGAUGAGGUCAAAUCAUCAUGCCCCUUAUGUCUUGGGCUUCACGCAUGCUACAAUGGCCGGUACAAAGGGCUGCGAUACCGCAAGGUGGAGCGAAUCCCAAAAAGCCGGUCUCAGUUCGGAUUGAGGUCUGCAACUCGACCCCAUGAAGUCGGAGUCGCUAGUAAUCGUGAAUCAGCAACGUCACGGUGAAUACGUUCCCGGGCCUUGCACACACCGCCCGU
Molecule: ribosomal RNA, 495 nt
Filed under: uncultured bacterium
Lineage: Bacteria
Description: bacterial SSU rRNA
Rfam family: Bacterial small subunit ribosomal RNA
Source: RNAcentral